RNAcentral lists this ribosomal RNA (1101 nucleotides) under uncultured Cladosporium. RNAcentral's name for it is "eukaryotic LSU rRNA". The stretch from base 476 to 1101 matches the Rfam family "Eukaryotic large subunit ribosomal RNA", at positions 1 to 648 of the family's 3401-position model. Lineage: Eukaryota; Fungi; Ascomycota; Dothideomycetes; Cladosporiales; Cladosporiaceae. The record is from RNAcentral.
AGGGAUCAUUACAAGUGACCCCGGUCUAACCACCGGGAUGUUCAUAACCCUUUGUUGUCCGACUCUGUUGCCUCCGGGGCGACCCUGCCUUCGGGCGGGGGCUCCGGGUGGACACUUCAAACUCUUGCGUAACUUUGCAGUCUGAGUAAACUUAAUUAAUAAAUUAAAACUUUUAACAACGGAUCUCUUGGUUCUGGCAUCGAUGAAGAACGCAGCGAAAUGCGAUAAGUAAUGUGAAUUGCAGAAUUCAGUGAAUCAUCGAAUCUUUGAACGCACAUUGCGCCCCCUGGUAUUCCGGGGGGCAUGCCUGUUCGAGCGUCAUUUCACCACUCAAGCCUCGCUUGGUAUUGGGCAACGCGGUCCGCCGCGUGCCUCAAAUCGACCGGCUGGGUCUUCUGUCCCCUAAGCGUUGUGGAAACUAUUCGCUAAAGGGUGUUCGGGAGGCUACGCCGUAAAACAACCCCAUUUCUAAGGUUGACCUCGGAUCAGGUAGGGAUACCCGCUGAACUUAAGCAUAUCAAUAAGCGGAGGAAAAGAAACCAACAGGGAUUGCUCUAGUAACGGCGAGUGAAGCAGCAAUAGCUCAAAUUUGAAAUCUGGCGUCUUCGACGUCCGAGUUGUAAUUUGUAGAGGAUGCUUCUGAGUAACCACCGACCUAAGUUCCUUGGAACAGGACGUCAUAGAGGGUGAGAAUCCCGUAUGCGGUCGGAAAGGUGCUCUAUACGUAGCUCCUUCGACGAGUCGAGUUGUUUGGGAAUGCAGCUCUAAAUGGGAGGUAAAUUUCUUCUAAAGCUAAAUAUUGGCCAGAGACCGAUAGCGCACAAGUAGAGUGAUCGAAAGAUGAAAAGCACUUUGGAAAGAGAGUUAAAAAGCACGUGAAAUUGUUAAAAGGGAAGGGAUUGCAACCAGACUUGCUCGCGGUGUUCCGCCGGUCUUCUGACCGGUCUACUCGCCGCGUUGCAGGCCAGCAUCGUCUGGUGCCGCUGGAUAAGACUUGAGGAAUGUAGCUCCCUCGGGAGUGUUAUAGCCUCUUGUGAUGCAGCGAGCGCCGGGCGAGGUCCGCGCUUCGGCUAGGAUGCUGGCGUAAUGGUCGUAAUCCGC